CAUGCAAGUUGAGCGCUGAAGGUUGGUACUUGUACCAACUGGAUGAGCAGCGAACGGGUGAGUAACGCGUGGGGAAUCUGCCUUUGAGCGGGGGACAACAUUUGGAAACGAAUGCUAAUACCGCAUAAAAACUUUAAACACAAGUUUUAAGUUUGAAAGAUGCAAUUGCAUCACUCAGAGAUGAUCCCGCGUUGUAUUAGCUAGUUGGUGAGGUAAAGGCUCACCAAGGCGAUGAUACAUAGCCGACCUGAGAGGGUGAUCGGCCACAUUGGGACUGAGACACGGCCCAAACUCCUACGGGAGGCAGCAGUAGGGAAUCUUCGGCAAUGGACGAAAGUCUGACCGAGCAACGCCGCGUGAGUGAAGAAGGUUUUCGGAUCGUAAAACUCUGUUGGUAGAGAAGAACGUUGGUGAGAGUGGAAAGCUCAUCAAGUGACGGUAACUACCCAGAAAGGGACGGCUAACUACGUGCCAGCAGCCGCGGUAAUACGUAGGUCCCGAGCGUUGUCCGGAUUUAUUGGGCGUAAAGCGAGCGCAGGUGGUUUAUUAAGUCUGGUGUAAAAGGCAGUGGCUCAACCAUUGUAUGCAUUGGAAACUGGUAGACUUGAGUGCAGGAGAGGAGAGUGGAAUUCCAUGUGUAGCGGUGAAAUGCGUAGAUAUAUGGAGGAACACCGGUGGCGAAAGCGGCUCUCUGGCCUGUAACUGACACUGAGGCUCGAAAGCGUGGGGAGCAAACAGGAUUAGAUACCCUGGUAGUCCACGCCGUAAACGAUGAGUGCUAGAUGUAGGGAGCUAUAAGUUCUCUGUAUCGCAGCUAACGCAAUAAGCACUCCGCCUGGGGAGUACGACCGCAAGGUUGAAACUCAAAGGAAUUGACGGGGGCCCGCACAAGCGGUGGAGCAUGUGGUUUAAUUCGAAGCAACGCGAAGAACCUUACCAAGGUCUUGACAUACUCGUGCUAUUCCUAGAGAUAGGAAGUUCCUUCGGGACACGGGAUACAGGUGGUGCAUGGGUGUCGUCAGCUCGUGUCGUGAGAUGUUGGGUUAAGUCCCGCACGAGCGCACCCCUAUGUUAGUUGCCAUCAUUAAGUUUGGCACU
RNAcentral lists this ribosomal RNA (1098 nucleotides) under Lactococcus lactis. Its description in RNAcentral is "bacterial SSU rRNA". It matches the Rfam family "Bacterial small subunit ribosomal RNA", at positions 54 to 1139 of the family's 1533-position model. The record is from RNAcentral. Lineage: Bacteria; Bacillati; Bacillota; Bacilli; Lactobacillales; Streptococcaceae.